GACGAACACUGGCGGCGUGCCUAAUACAUGCAAGUAGAACGCUGAAGAGAGGAGCUUGCUCUUCUUGGAGGAGUUGCGAACGGGUGAGUAACGCGUAGGUAACCUGCCUUGUAGCGGGGGAUAACUAUUGGAAACGAUAGCUAAUACCGCAUAACAAUGGAUGACUCAUGUCAUUUAUUUGAAAGGGGCAAAUGCUCCACUACAAGAUGGACCUGCGUUGUAUUAGCUAGUAGGUGAGGUAACGGCUCACCUAGGCGACGAUACAUAGCCGACCUGAGAGGGUGAUCAGCCACACUGGGACUGAGACACGGCCCAGACUCCUACGGGAGGCAGCAGUAGGGAAUCUUCGGCAAUGGGGGCAACCCUGACCGAGCAACGCCGCGUGAGUGAAGAAGGUUUUCGGAUCGUAAAGCUCUGUUGUAAGUCAAGAACGAGUGUGAGAGUGGAAAGUUCACACUGUGACGGUAGCUUACCAGAAAGGGACGGCUAACUACGUGCCAGCAGCCGCGGCAAUACGUAGGUCCCGAGCGUUGUCCGGAUUUAUUGGGCGUAAAGCGAGCGCAGGCGGUUUGAUAAGUCUGAAGUUAAAGGCUGUGGCUCAACCAUAGUUCGCUUUGGAAACUGUCAAACUUGAGUGCAGAAGGGGAGAGUGGAAUUCCAUGUGUAGCGGUGAAAUGCGUAGAUAUAUGGAGGAACACCGGUGGCGAAAGCGGCUCUCUGGUCUGUAACUGACGCUGAGGCUCGAAAGCGUGGGGAGCGAACAGG
Molecule: ribosomal RNA, 765 nt
Filed under: uncultured Streptococcus sp.
Lineage: Bacteria; Bacillati; Bacillota; Bacilli; Lactobacillales; Streptococcaceae
Description: bacterial SSU rRNA
Rfam family: Bacterial small subunit ribosomal RNA
Source: RNAcentral